UUUUGAUUCAGUUUUAGAAAUUAGACUAUUUUUCAUUUGACCUCCCUUUGGAGGCAUCUUUAGAAUGAAUGACCCAAAGGAACACACCUUCAGAUUGAAACAAAGAAGGAAAAGCAUUGAAACAGAGACAGUUUUCUUCAAUUAAUCUUAUGAAUCGGAAAUUUUGGGGGAUUCCCAGGGGGUUCAAUCUUGCUUAUUUCUCACCAAUUUGAACCUGAAGGACCCGAAGUGCAAGCUCUAGUUUCUGAUUCAUGCAACGCUUGCAAUGUAAUGUGAUUGAGUAGAGAAAUAAGCAGCAAGUCACGGUUCCCAAAAAGCGCGUGUGAUAGUCACUCAGAGCAAAGCACGGAUUCGUAAUAAUUGCACGAACGCCCCUUUUGGCUGUCAACACUCAUUCUACGUCCCCCACGUCGCUACCCUUCCAAUUGCACGGACAUCAAAAUCAUAUUCCCUCCUCCUCUCCAAUCCGCUUUCUCUCCCCCACCGUUGUCUCCUCCUCGCGAUUGAAUCAUGAAAGCUUCAUCGUCUUCUAUGACGGUUUCCUCUGUGUCCAAGUCGCUCUUGCCUCCUCGACGUAGGCUCCGUCUUCAUCCUAACAAUUCUUUGUUCUUUCCUCGUAAAGAGCGCCAUCAGAAUGAAGAAUACAAGCAGAUCCCAUGUAGCUUUCAAGGAAUCAGGAGAUGUACGAUUUUUACUUGAUCUAGCUCUACAGAUAAUGAUGUGAUACAAUGAUGUUCCAGCUCAUUUGCUCAUUCCUGUGGAUAAUUCUUUAUUGAAGUUAAUCCAUGUCACAAAUGAACUAUCAUUUACAUCGGUCAGGUAGAAGCGCUUGAAACCUUUCCUGAACAUCUGUCAAGCUAGAUUGUUAAAACGGCAUAGAAGGAAUGUGAACUUACCCUGACGUUCGACAUCAGCAUGGAUGCAAAAAGCUUUACCUGUAGUUCUUCAGAUGGAUCGAGUUCUACAAGCUUACAAUAUUUAGCUUCUCUGGAGAAUAAAGAGGUGUAAACAGGCUUUAAUAACCGUCUCUUUUAUUUGGUCUAAUAUGAUCCAUCCGUUGCAGCAAAAUAGUGAUGCUAAGGGAUCGAGUAGUUCAACUUGAAUUUUAUUGUUCAUCUGUGACAGUCUUUCCAUGGAGAAAGAAAUAUGAAGUUUUAAUUCUAUAAUAUUGGUUGCGCAUGGCAUGGCAAUCGGUACAGACACGCAAGUAAAAGAAAUUGUGUAAGUUAUUGGCUUUUGCAUUUCUUUAAUUUCUUUGUUUUCUUCUUUUGUCACCUUCAGAUUUUCCUCUAUAUGUAGAAGUGAAUUACCGUUAGUGCAAAAGCUUCUCAUGGAAAGUUUCUGGAAGUUUCUUCAUGUGCAUUGUUUUCCAUUCUUACUGGUUUUUGUGCCAUAUUGGGCUCCAACACGGCCCAUCCCUGCCUCUUGCGCUUCUGCUUAAUUAUUAUAUCUAAGAAUCGAACAAUUUUCGAAAUCAAUGUUUUGAGCUCUUACAGCAUAAUCAUUUUCUAGGAAGUUAUUGUCUUCUGAGGAUUAAAGAAUCUAUAUAUUUUCAAUCUUUCAUUUUCCGUUCUCCCUGCGGUUUGGUUUAUAAGAGUCACCGAGUAAGAUUCAUUUUUCUAAUAGUUUAUUUGAUGCACUGUUUCCGAGUAAGAAUCUAACAGUGACAUCAUUUGUUGCCUAUAUUUGUAGUUUUUGUCGCAGGGUGCUAGUGUUGGAACUACAUAGACCGCUAAAAUUGUCAACCGUUUUUAUUAGCAUAGAGGGUCCCUCAUUUACUAAUUGUGAAAUUGACUCUUUUGUUUCCCUUCAAGAGUCUUGCCACUAUCUUAAGUAAAUCUGCUUAUUCAAAUUCUUCUUAACUAUUGAGAAAUUUUGGUUUUCUCGGUCUAUUUAUCCUUGCCUUUGUGAUUUGAACAUCAAUUUUUACUGCCUGAGAUUACUUCAAAUUUUAAUGAGUUUCUCCCAGAGCAAGCGUGUGAGAUAAUCAUGCAGAGGAAAAUAUAAGUUUCUUGCACAUUUAUAUUCUGCUUUUGUUGUGCUAGUUUAAUUUAGAUGAUGUGGCCUGUGAAAGCAUUCAACAUUGGGUGUUAUUAUCAAUACUUUGACGAACUAAUAGUGGAUGUUGUAUUUAGAAUUCAUGUCUAGGUACUUCUAAUCUUUACCUUACACCAGAUGAACACGGAUGAACUACUCAGUUCACAGAAGAAAGAGCUAUGUGGGGGCAUUUCUAAGUUGUGCUUAGGUGUUCGUGCUGUAAGGACCCACUGGCUAUCCUAUCGAGCGACAGGAAGCGAUGGGCUGAAAGGAACUUGAAAUAAAUAUUUAUAUGAAUUCCAAGCACUUAGCUUAGCGAUGGAAAAUCGUUGCUUUGGAAUCACAAAACCUUUUCUUGUCAUCUUCGUGAUUUUUAAAUCUCUUUUUGGGCCAUCAUGUCAGUUCCUCACCAUAAACACGUGGAUAGCCUCUCAAGUCACUGUAACCUAAAUGUUAAUCAUAAAUGUUUGGGGGCACUUUUGGCAUGGGACUGUGCAUUUGCACAAAAUGUGGUAUUACAAAUCCGUUAUGGAAAGCACACAGUGAAGCAUACAAAGGUAGUUGGGUAGGGGAAGGCAGGCCAUAAUGCUGUUGAUGAUCCUUUUGUCGGCGGAAAACAUGCAUGGAACGAAUUACGUGUCGAUAUGAGGCAAAUUAGCUUCAUCGAAAUGGAAAGAGAUGAAAAGAGAUUGGCUAACAGGUGAGAGAGCCUCGAAUCUGCCAUGAAUUGAAAGCUACGUUUCAAUUUGUAUGUGUCCAGAGAAAUGGCUGUAUGAAACCCAUGAUUUUGUGCCCCUUCCAGUGGGAAACUGUGAAACUCGACCUCCAAAGCCUUCCUUUUCGACUGUCAAUGGAGGGAAUAGUAGCUACCAAUCAUAUAUCUUACACUAACUUUUGUUUUCUUUUUUCUUUCUUUAAUUAAAUUAUACUGAUUCAUUAGGAAAGUUUACGUCCAAAAGACGAACAAACCCUCUCAUUUUAUAAGAUUCAUAAGUCACCUUUUUUUUAUCUAUUGAAUUUCAACAUGUACUCAAAAGGACAACAUUGAAGGAGCACAUUAAAGAUUCAUAAAAAAAAAAUGGAAGAAACCUCCCGACUUUUAUAAGAUUUAUAAGUUACUCUUGUUGUACAUUUGUUUUGAGGUAAAACUUGAUGUAUAUCAUUUUGACUUUUGUUAUGUAACUUAUGUAUCUCUUUUUGUGA
Molecule: long non-coding RNA, 3240 nt
Organism: Cucumis sativus (cucumber)
Lineage: Eukaryota; Viridiplantae; Streptophyta; Magnoliopsida; Cucurbitales; Cucurbitaceae
Exons: 9
Source: RefSeq, a predicted model, not a curated record